GAUGAAGAACGCAGCGAAAUGCGAUAAGUAAUGUGAAUUGCAGAAUUCAGUGAAUCAUCGAAUCUUUGAACGCACAUUGCGCCCGCCAGUAUUCUGGCGGGCAUGCCUGUUCGAGCGUCAUUACAACCCUCAGGCCCCCGGGCCUGGCGUUGGGGAUCGGCGGAGCCCCCCGUGGGCACACGCCGUCCCCCAAAUGCAGUGGCGGUCCCGCCGCAGCUUCCAUCGCGUAGUAGCUAACACCUCGCGACUGGAGAGCGGCGCGGCCACGCCGUAAACACCCAACUCUUCUGAAGUUGACCUCGAAUCAGGUAGGAAUACCCGCUGAACUUAAGCAUAUCAAUAAGCGGAGGA
Molecule: unclassified non-coding RNA, 351 nt
Filed under: soil metagenome
Description: partial contains 5.8S ribosomal RNA, internal transcribed spacer 2, and large subunit ribosomal RNA
Rfam family: 5.8S ribosomal RNA (bases 1-120)
Source: RNAcentral